RNAcentral lists this ribosomal RNA (560 nucleotides) under uncultured bacterium. RNAcentral describes it as "bacterial SSU rRNA". It matches the Rfam family "Bacterial small subunit ribosomal RNA", at positions 338 to 916 of the family's 1533-position model. The record is from RNAcentral.
CCUACGGGAGGCAGCAGUGGGGAAUCUUGCGCAAUGGGCGAAAGCCUGACGCAGCCAUGCCGCGUGAAUGAUGAAGGUCUUAGGAUUGUAAAAUUCUUUCACCGGGGACGAUAAUGACGGUACCCGGAGAAGAAGCCCCGGCUGACUUCGUGCCAGCAGCCGCGGUAAUACGAAGGGGGCUAGCGUUGCUCGGAAUUACUGGGCGUAAAGGGAGCGUAGGCGGAUAGUUUAGUCAGAGGUGAAAGCCCAGGGCUCAACCUUGGAAUUGCCUUUGAUACUGGCUAUCUUGAGUAUGGGAGAGGUUAGCGGAACUCCGAGUGUAGAGGUGAAAUUCGUAGAUAUUCGGAAGAACACCAGUGGCGAAGGCGGCUAACUGGCCCAUUACUGACGCUGAGGCUCGAAAGCGUGGGGAGCAAACAGGAUUAGAUACCCUGGUAGUCCACGCCGUAAACGAUGAGUGCUAGUUGUCGGCAUGCAUGCAUGUCGGUGACGCAGCUAACGCAUUAAGCACUCCGCCUGGGGAGUACGGUCGCAAGAUUAAAACUCAAAGGAAUUGACGG